This 253-nucleotide ribosomal RNA is filed under the name uncultured bacterium. RNAcentral describes it as "partial 16S ribosomal RNA". It matches the Rfam family "Bacterial small subunit ribosomal RNA", at positions 524 to 776 of the family's 1533-position model. The record is from RNAcentral.
UACGUAGGGGGCAAGCGUUGUCCGGAAUCAUUGGGCGUAAAGAGCGCGUAGGCGGUCCGGUAAGUCCGCUCUGAAAGUCCGGGGCUCAACCCCGGGAGGCGGGCGGAUACUGUCGGGCUAGAGUCCGGAGGAGGCGAGUGGAAUUCCUGGUGUAGCGGUGAAAUGCGCAGAUAUCAGGAGGAACACCUAUUGCGAAGGCAGCUCGCUGGGACGUUACUGACGCUGAGACGCGAAAGCGUGGGGAGCAAACAGG